GCAGUCGUACGAGUUCUCGUUGAUGAUCGGUGCUUGCACCGAGAUUCAACAUGGAACGAGUGGCGGACGGGUGAGUAACACGUGGGUAACCUGCCCUUAAGUGGGGGAUAACAUUUGGAAACAGAUGCUAAUACCGCAUAGAUCCAAGAACCGCAUGGUUCUUGGCUGAAAGAUGGCGUAAGCUAUCGCUUUUGGAUGGACCCGCGGCGUAUUAGCUAGUUGGUGAGGUAAUGGCUCACCAAGGCGAUGAUACGUAGCCGAACUGAGAGGUUGAUCGGCCACAUUGGGACUGAGACACGGCCCAAACUCCUACGGGAGGCAGCAGUAGGGAAUCUUCCACAAUGGACGCAAGUCUGAUGGAGCAACGCCGCGUGAGUGAAGAAGGCUUUCGGGUCGUAAAACUCUGUUGUUGGAGAAGAAUGGUCGGCAGAGUAACUGUUGUCGGCGUGACGGUAUCCAACCAGAAAGCCACGGCUAACUACGUGCCAGCAGCCGCGGUAAUACGUAGGUGGCAAGCGUUAUCCGGAUUUAUUGGGCGUAAAGCGAGCGCAGGCGGUUUUUUAAGUCUGAUGUGAAAGCCCUCGGCUUAACCGAGGAAGCGCAUCGGAAACUGGGAAACUUGAGUGCAGAAGAGGACAGUGGAACUCCAUGUGUAGCGGUGAAAUGCGUAGAUAUAUGGAAGAACACCAGUGGCGAAGGCGGCUGUCUGGUCUGUAACUGACGCUGAGGCUCGAAAGCAUGGGUAGCGAACAGGAUUAGAUACCCUGGUAGUCCAUGCCGUAAACGAUGAAUGCUAGGUGUUGGAGGGUUUCCGCCCUUCAGUGCCGCAGCUAACGCAUUAAGCAUUCCGCCUGGGGAGUACGACCGCAAGGUUGAAACUCAAAGGAAUUGACGGGGGCCCGCACAAGCGGUGGAGCAUGUGGUUUAAUUCGAAGCAACGCGAAGAACCUUACCAGGUCUUGACAUCUUUUGAUCACCUG
This 980-nucleotide ribosomal RNA is filed under the name Lactobacillus sp. P10. Its description in RNAcentral is "bacterial SSU rRNA". It matches the Rfam family "Bacterial small subunit ribosomal RNA", at positions 57 to 1001 of the family's 1533-position model. Lineage: Bacteria; Bacillati; Bacillota; Bacilli; Lactobacillales; Lactobacillaceae. The record is from RNAcentral.